AACGAACGCUGGCGGCAUGCCUAACACAUGCAAGUCGAACGAGACCUUCGGGUCUAGUGGCGCACGGGUUCGUAACGCGUGGGAACCUGCCCUUAGGUUCGGAAUAACUCCCCGAAAGGGGUGCUAAUACCGGAUAAUGUCUUCGGACCAAAGAUUUAUCGCCUUUGGAUGGGCCCGCGUUGGAUUAGCUAGUUGGUAGGGUAAAAGCCUACCAAGGCGACGAUCCAUAGCUGGUCUGAGAGGAUGAUCAGCCACACUGGGACUGAGACACGGCCCAGACUCCUACGGGAGGCAGCAGUGGGGAAUAUUGGACAAUGGGCGAAAGCCUGAUCCAGCAAUGCCGCGUGAGUGAUGAAGGCCUUAGGGUUGUAAAGCUCUUUUAACCGGGAUGAUAAUGACAGUACCGGGAGAAUAAGCUCCGGCUAACUCCGUG
This 433-nucleotide ribosomal RNA is filed under the name uncultured bacterium. Its description in RNAcentral is "partial 16S ribosomal RNA". It matches the Rfam family "Bacterial small subunit ribosomal RNA", at positions 29 to 507 of the family's 1533-position model. The record is from RNAcentral.